Molecule: long non-coding RNA, 324 nt
Filed under: Ananas comosus (pineapple)
Lineage: Eukaryota; Viridiplantae; Streptophyta; Magnoliopsida; Poales; Bromeliaceae
Description: long non-coding RNA (ACOM_LNC022938)
Source: RNAcentral
UCAUCUCUUCCUUGGCUACUUUUCUGUUCGAAGUAUCUGACUCUUUUGCUUAUAUGAUUUUAGUUAUUUGAGUUAGGUCAGGACCGCAUGUUCAACAAAAUCGCAUAAGUUGGUCGUGUUGGAUGUGGCCCAUGUGAUUUAUUUAAGACGAUCUAUAAAUAUACAGUCGGUCUAGUUAUGUCAAUCUAUAAAGAUACGGAAGAUCUAACGGUUAGGAUGUAUCUGGAAACGUUUUUGAUGGGCGGACGCGAUUUAACAUCCUUACAUUAAGUUAUAUAUGUAUUUUAGUUUCUAAUAAAGUUUCAACACGUAGGUCUAAAAACA